Molecule: ribosomal RNA, 497 nt
Filed under: uncultured bacterium
Lineage: Bacteria
Description: partial 16S ribosomal RNA
Rfam family: Bacterial small subunit ribosomal RNA
Source: RNAcentral
GAUGAACGCUGGCGGUGUGCCUAAUACAUGCAAGUCGAGCGAACAGACGAGGAGCUUACUCCUCUGACGUUAGCGGCGGACGGGUGAGUAACACGUGGAUAACCAACCUAUAAGACUGGGAUAACUUCGGGAAACCGGAGCUAAUACCGGAUAACAUGUUGAACCGCAUGGUUCAACAGUGAAAGACGGUCUUGCUGUCACUUAUAGAUGGAUCCGCGUCGCAUUAGCUAGUUGGUAAGGUAACGGCUUACCAAGGCAACGAUGCGUAGCCGACCUGAGAGGGUGAUCGGCCACACUGGAACUGAGACACGGUCCAGACUCCUACGUGAGGCAGCAGUAGGGAAUCUUCCGCAAUGGGCGAAAGCCUGACGGAGCAACGCCGCGUGAGUGAAGAAGGUCUUCGGAUCGUAAAACUCUGUUAUUAGGGAAGAACAAAUGUGUAAGUAACUAUGCACGUCUUGACGGUACCUAAUCAGAAAGCCACGGCUAACUACGUG